This is a long non-coding RNA of Solanum lycopersicum (tomato), 848 nucleotides long. RefSeq lists it as uncharacterized. Lineage: Eukaryota; Viridiplantae; Streptophyta; Magnoliopsida; Solanales; Solanaceae. The record is from RefSeq and is a predicted model, not a curated record.
CUAGAGGAUGAACAAGGGCACAUGUGUAAUUUCACUAAUACCGGCUUGGACGAACACUACCAAGUUGUGUGGAUAGCACCUUAUACAUCCAUGUUUACUCUACUCUUUUCCUCUUUGAUGCAAAUUGUAGAAAUCAAAAUCAACCUCUUUCUCCAAAACUCUUCAUCAGGGAAAAAAUAUUGAGCUUGUAGUAGGGGAAACAAAGUUGUUGAUAGUUGAGGUGAGAAAGUAUCACUCAACACCAUUGAUGGCGAAAUUCGUGGACAAGAAGGUCACAACCGAAGAACUUGUACUUUUUUCAGAAAGAAGAUUGACAAACUUUUUUCUAGACUACUAGCAUGUUUUUGAUACAUCAUUUUCAGAUUAUCAAUUUUAAUUUUUUUGUUUUUUUUCAUUUUUACUUUUAUAGAACAUUACAAUUAACUAUCAGGUGGUGAAAUUCUGAUACAAUAAAUUGAAAUGUUAAGAUUUUGAACUUUGUGUUUAUUUUUGUAACAAAUUAUGUUUCACAUAUAAUUAUUUGAGAAUAAUGUACCAUAGAUUAUGUUUAUGGAGAUUGUAACACUUAAUAUGGUUCAGAUAUAUUUUUCUUAUAGUGUAUCAUGUUCUAAUUGAAAAUAGUGUAUCCUAUAUAAUAGGGUUGUAAAAAAGUAGUAUACAUAAUUAAAUAAAGUGUAUCUUUAAAUGUAUCACAAUAAGUAAAAAAUAAUUUAUCAAUAGAUACAUGAAUGAUUUACGAAGUAAUCACAACUAAUUAUCCAAUAUAUCAGCAUAAAUCAAUACGCAACUUACUAGAACUAAGUUAUCAAAUAAAUACAUAAUUGAAUCAGCAGUCAAGUUAUAUAUUA